CGCUCAGUCCAUUAUUUUUAUAGUCUAUGCUGCUUCCCCAAAUUCCUAUGGAUGAUAUUAACCAAGUCCUGGAUUAUUUCUCUCUGACGACCCGGUUAAAGUCAGACAAAGGUUACAAGUACUUCAGUGAAGGCUGCUUGUUUAAUUGUGAAGCUCGUGGACUGUGCGGCGAUGGCAUUUCUCCGCGAGCAGCAGCUGACUCAGCAUUCGCCGAGAAGAUCCGACUGAAUACCUGUGAAAAUACCAUGAAAGGAGAAAGAAUUCAUUCUCACCCAAAGACCUGAAUUUAGUUUGGAAUGACAGUGGACACAUACCCACAGAAACCAGUCAUACUUUUCUGUUUGUGAGCAACUCCAUUGGCCAGAUGACUGUCGAGAUCACGCAGCUUCACUGAGGGAGUCAUGGCUGAGUCAGUUCCUCUCUACUAGUAAACACACUGUUGGAGUGAGUAGAAAUGAUGGGAAAAUUGAAGCAAUUUUCUGCUUUCUCGUAAUGUUUUUUUUUCACAGAGGAAAACCGAAUUCAAAAACAUGUUGGGAGAAAAAAAUCCAAAACUAAAAAACCCCUAAAAACUCCAGCUCUGAUGAUCAUGCAACAAGUAUAGCAGUAAAAAUGUAAAGAUUAAGUACAACAUUUUAAAAAUUCACACACAGAUAGUGGCUCUGCUGCUAAACACUGAACACCAUGGACAAUGUGGAGUUCAGUGUCUUGUCCAAGGACAUUUAGACACUAGUUGGAGGUCGACCACUCUACCUCUGCACCAUGUAAAGCUUCAAAUGCCGUAAAUAACAUGGGUUUUUGGUCAACUCUUUAACACCGGAGCUCCAGUGUUUAUGUUAAAAAGUUACAGUAUGUCAAAGAUUUUGUAUUUAAGCAACACCACAGGUGUUAAAUGGUUAAAAGUAGAAAA
Long non-coding RNA from Oryzias melastigma (Indian medaka), 910 nucleotides. RefSeq lists it as uncharacterized. The record is from RefSeq and is a predicted model, not a curated record. NCBI's taxonomy places the organism in Eukaryota, Metazoa, Chordata, Actinopteri, Beloniformes, Adrianichthyidae. The transcript has 3 exons.